GCCCAGGUAGCUCAGUCAGUAGAGCAUGAGGGUCUUAUUUUCCGGGUCGUGCGUUUGAGCCCCACGGUGGGCA
Non-coding RNA from Podarcis lilfordi (Lilford's wall lizard), 73 nucleotides. Lineage: Eukaryota; Metazoa; Chordata; Lepidosauria; Squamata; Lacertidae. The record is from the annotation of a GenBank genome assembly.